UACGAAGGGGGCGAGCGUUGUUCGGAUUUACUGGGCGUAAAGGGCGCGUAGGCGGCCCUCUUUGUCGCGUGUGAAAGCCCCGGGCUCAACCUGGGAAUUGCGCGCGAAACGGGGGGGCUGGAGUUCGGGAGAGGAGCGUGGAAUUCCCAGUGUAGAGGUGAAAUUCGUAGAUAUUGGGAAGAACACCGGUGGCGAAGGCGGCGCUCUGGACCGAGACUGACGCUGAGGCGCGAAAGCGUGGGGAGCAAACAG
Molecule: ribosomal RNA, 252 nt
Filed under: uncultured bacterium
Lineage: Bacteria
Description: partial 16S ribosomal RNA
Rfam family: Bacterial small subunit ribosomal RNA
Source: RNAcentral